AUACUUACCUGGACGGGGUCGAUGGGCGAUCAAGAAGGCCCAUGGCCUAGAUCAGUGGCCCACAUUGCACUUGGUGGGUGCGCUGGUCUACCAUCUCCCCAAGUGGGAGAGUGGAUGUCAUAAUUUGUGGCAGAGGGGGUACGCGUUCGCGCGGCCCCUGC
RNAcentral lists this small nuclear RNA (161 nucleotides) under Setaria italica (foxtail millet). Its description in RNAcentral is "snRNA U1". It matches the Rfam family "U1 spliceosomal RNA". From Rfam's summary of the family: U1 is a small nuclear RNA (snRNA) component of the spliceosome (involved in pre-mRNA splicing). The record is from RNAcentral. Lineage: Eukaryota; Viridiplantae; Streptophyta; Magnoliopsida; Poales; Poaceae.